ACAAACUUGGUCAUUUAGAGGAAGUAAAAGUCGUAACAAGGUUUCCGUAGGUGAACCUGCGGAAGGAUCAUUAAAGAGUUUGGAUUUAUCCUACUCAUCAUCAAUUGUGAACUUUUAAAUGUUGCUUUGAUAAAUCAGACUUUGUCGUCUGGGUACCUUUGGGUCCUAGAUAGUAUUUAUCAAGGGUUAAAAUCUUAUUACUUAUUAUCUGAUCAACUUAAAAGACAAUACAACUUUCAACAAUGGAUCUCUUGGCUCUGACAUCGAUGAAGAACGCAGC
Molecule: unclassified non-coding RNA, 280 nt
Filed under: uncultured fungus
Lineage: Eukaryota; Fungi
Description: partial contains small subunit ribosomal RNA, internal transcribed spacer 1, and 5.8S ribosomal RNA
Rfam family: Eukaryotic small subunit ribosomal RNA (bases 1-73)
Source: RNAcentral